UUUUUCUAUCUGUAUGACAUAGAAAAUGUAUUAAGUCUUCACAUUGAUUUUCAGGGGAGGAUUUCUGAAAGAAGAAGGGGAAAGAUACAGAAAGAGAGGCGCAGUUGCUGGAGAGAAGAAUGUAAUCCCCUGAAUAGACAACUUUGUGUGCCAUACGGAUAUUGUCCCAGAUGAAGAAAAGUUCUAUUGUCUCCUUAAUGGCUUUCUAUUUGUAUGUUGUAAUGAAGUACCAGAACAUAGCCAUGACCAUGAAAGGUCAGAUACGUCUCUGACAAUGGCCAGCUCAAGAUACUUCAGUGAAAUUUAAAAUAGCUCUGAGUUCUCAGGUGAAAAAAUAUAGCAGAAAAAAUUAGCAUGAAAGGUUUGCAUUAUUUCUCAGCUAUAGACAACAGAGACAAUUAGUAAUCUCAACUGAAUGGACAGAAAUAAGCUUCAGAAUGGACAGAAAUAAGCUUCAGAAAGAAGAAUCUUCAGAAAGAAGAAUCUCCACGAUGUAGAGCUCCUCUUUUCCUAAUGUCCCAAAAGUAUAAUAAAAGAAUACUCUUCCAGCCA
Molecule: long non-coding RNA, 552 nt
Organism: Cygnus olor (mute swan)
Lineage: Eukaryota; Metazoa; Chordata; Aves; Anseriformes; Anatidae
Exons: 4
Source: RefSeq, a predicted model, not a curated record